UACGUAGGGGGCAAGCGUUGUCCGGAUUUAUUGGGCGUAAAGAGCGUGUAGGCGGCCUGACAGGUCUGCUGUGAAAACUCGAGGCUUAACCUCGAGAUGUCAUCGGAAACCAUUUGGCUAGAGUCCGGAAGAGGAAAGUGGAAUUCCUGGUGUAGCGGUGAAAUGCGCAGAUAUCAGGAGGAACACCGGUGGCGAAGGCGGGUCUCUGGGCCGAAAUUGACGCUGAGGAGCGAAAGCGUGGGGAGCAAACAGG
RNAcentral lists this ribosomal RNA (253 nucleotides) under uncultured bacterium. RNAcentral's name for it is "partial 16S ribosomal RNA". It matches the Rfam family "Bacterial small subunit ribosomal RNA", at positions 524 to 776 of the family's 1533-position model. The record is from RNAcentral.